UACAGAGGUCUCAAGCGUUGUUCGGAUUCAUUGGGCGUAAAGGGUGCGUAGGCGGCGCGGUAAGUCGGGUGUGAAAUCUCGGAGCUUAACUCCGAAACUGCAUUCGAUACUGCGGUGCUUGAGGACUGGAGAGGAGACUGGAAUUCAUUGUGUAGCAGUGAAAUGCGUAGAGAUCAUGAGGAAGACCAGUGGCGAAGGCGGGUCUCUGGACAGUUCCUGACACUGAGGCACGAAGGCCAGGGGAGCAAACGGG
RNAcentral lists this ribosomal RNA (253 nucleotides) under uncultured bacterium. RNAcentral's name for it is "partial 16S ribosomal RNA". It matches the Rfam family "Bacterial small subunit ribosomal RNA", at positions 524 to 776 of the family's 1533-position model. The record is from RNAcentral.